RNAcentral lists this ribosomal RNA (831 nucleotides) under Triticum aestivum (bread wheat). Its description in RNAcentral is "partial small subunit ribosomal RNA". The record is from RNAcentral. Lineage: Eukaryota; Viridiplantae; Streptophyta; Magnoliopsida; Poales; Poaceae.
AUGGAGUGGAUCGCCAUCCUCCUAUCUUCGGCAAGCACACAUAUACUGAUGAACGGUGAUCCAGGGCCACCUAUCUGGCACCGCAAGGGGCUCCGGCAGGGUGAUCCUGUGUCACCACAACUUUUUGUGCUCGCUGUCGACAUCCUGAGCAGGCUCAUCAAGCGCGCUAUUGACACGGGAGUCAUGGCGCGGCUGCACCCGAGGCGUUCCAUUCCCACUGUGUCGCUGUAUGCGGAUGUCGUGGUACUAUUCUGCCACUGCUCGCCCAACAACAUCAUCGCCGUGCGUGAGGUCCUGACGCUCUUCGGCCGUGCUUUCGGCCUGAUGGUGAACCAUGCCAAGAGCUCCGCCUCACUGCUGCACUGUGACAUGGGUGAGGCGAUAGCAGCACUUGCGCACCUAGGCUGCCCCAUCGUCGACUUGCCGAUCACCUACCUCAGGAUCCCCCUCACGGUAGGCCGACCGAUUGCCGCCCAAUUGCAACCCUUAGUUGAUGGGAUUGCCAGUCGGCUCCCCACUUGGAAGGCCAACCUGAUGAACAAACCUGGCCGGCUUGCGCUGGUGAAGUCCGUGCUGCCUGCCAUCCCUUUGCAUCAACUACUCGCCUACGCACCGCCAAAGAAGACACUUCGUCAAAUUGAGAAGAUUGAGCGCGGCUUCUUGCGGGCUAGCCACGCUGCCGCCAACGGAGGCCACUGCCAUGUCAACUGGCGCCGCGUUUGCCGCCCCAUAUCGCACGGAGGCCUGGGAGUCCAGGACCUGGAGCGCGCUGGCCUUGCUCUGCGGCUACGAUGGCUAUGGUUCUCGCGCACUGACCAUGAGCGCGCCUAG